GUCUACGGCCAUACCACCCUGAACGCGCCCGAUCUCGUCUGAUCUCGGAAGCUAAGCAGGGUCGGGCCUGGUUAGUACUUGGAUGGGAGAAAUGGACCCUCAACU
RNAcentral lists this ribosomal RNA (105 nucleotides) under Mustela putorius furo (domestic ferret). The record is from RNAcentral. Lineage: Eukaryota; Metazoa; Chordata; Mammalia; Carnivora; Mustelidae.